AUGGAGGAAGCAGGAAAGGGACUUGACUGGGUUCAUUCAAAGGAAAAAUACAAUGAAUAUUUGAAGCAGCUUCUAGACCUAAGCUCCGGCAAGAGCAAGGCAGAACCCAUGGCAAACCCCCAUGUGGUCCAGAACCGCAAAGAAGUUUCAGUGAAGAAGAAUCUGCAGUUGCCUCAAACCAAGGAGAAGAUGGUGAGUGUAGAUGCUGAAGUAAAUAUGGUCAAGGAAGUUGUGCUUCAAACUGAUACACCAACUGUAGUGAGCAGAGAGCCAACCACCAUCACAGGAGUUCAACAGAUCAAGGGGAAGACUCCCCUUUCAAUAGUCCCACCAAAACCAUCUAAGCAGCAAAAGCUUGUCAUGUUUGCCAGGGGCACAAAGGGGGAACAAGCCACAAAAGGGGUGCCAAGUUCUGCUAGGUUGCUGACAACUCAGACUGGAAAGAUGCCAACUGCAGAUACCAAUGUGCCAACUGAUGUGUCAGCUAGCAGCGUGAUCACAGUCAAAACCACCACAGCUGCUCAGGAAGGCACCACUGCAACUGCAAGCCCCAAGGCGCCUACUCAUAGAGAUGCUUCAAAUGCAAACACAAAGGGAGCUGAUCCUACUACCAAAUUGCCGUCCCCAAGAGCCAGCACAUAG
This 642-nucleotide ribosomal RNA is filed under the name Triticum aestivum (bread wheat). RNAcentral describes it as "partial small subunit ribosomal RNA". Lineage: Eukaryota; Viridiplantae; Streptophyta; Magnoliopsida; Poales; Poaceae. The record is from RNAcentral.